AACGUACGCUGGCGGCACGCUUAACACAUGCAAGUCGAACGAAGUAGCAAUACUUAGUGGCAGACGGGUGAGUAACAUGUGGGUAUCUGCCCUUUGGCCUGGAAUAACACAAGGAAACUUGUGCUAAUACCGGAUAAGUCUUUACGGAGAAAGCUUUAUGCACCAUUGGAUGAGCCCGCACUUGAUUAGUUUGUUGGUGGGGUAAUGGCCUACCAAGACUGUGAUCAAUAGCUGAUUUGAGAGGAUGAUCAGCCACAUUGGGACUGAGACACGGCCCAAACUCCUACGGGAGGCAGCAGUGGGGAAUCUUGCACAAUGGAGGAAACUCUGAUGCAGCGAUGCCGCGUGAGUGAAGAAGGCCCUUGGGUUGUAAAGCUCUUUCGUCGGGGAAGAAAAUGACUGUACCCGAAUAAGAAGGUCCGGCUAACUUCGUGCCAGCAGCCGCGGUAAUACGAAGGGACCUAGCGUAGUUCGGAAUUACUGGGCUUAAAGAGUUCGUAGGUGGUUGAAAAAGUUAGUGGUGAAAUCCCAGAGCUUAACUCUGGAACUGCCAUUAAAACUUUUCAGCUAGAGUAUGAUAGAGGAAAGCAGAAUUUCUAGUGUAGAGGUGAAAUUCGUAGAUAUUAGAAAGAAUACCAAUUGCGAAGGCAGCUUUCUGGAUCAUUACUGACACUGAGGAACGAAAGCAUGGGUAGCGAAGAGGAUUAGAUACCCUCGUAGUCCAUGCCGUAAACGAUGUGUGUUAGACGUUGGAAAUUUAUUUUCAGUGUCGCAGCGAAAGCGAUAAACACACCGCCUGGGGAGUACGACCGCAAGGUUAAAACUCAAAUGAAUUGACGGGGACCCGCACAAGUAGUGGAGCAUGUGGUUUAAUUCGAAGAUACGCGCAGAACCUUACCAACACUUGACAUGUUCGUCGCGACUCUAAGAGAUUAGAGUUUUCGGUUCGGCCGGACGAAACACAGGUGCUGCAUGGCUGUCGUCAGCUCGUGUCGUGAGAUGUUGGGUUAAGUCCCGCAACGAGCGCAACCCUCACUUUUAGUUGCCAUCAUUAAGUUGGGCACUCUGAAAGAACUGCCAGUGAUAAGCUGGAGGAAGGUGGGGAUGACGUCAAGUCCUCAUGGCCCUUACGUGUUGGGCUACACACGUGCUACAAUGGUAUCUACAACAGGAAGCAAGACUGCGAGGUCAAGCAAAUCCUUAAAAGAUACCUCAGUUCGGAUUGCACUCUGCAACUCGAGUGCAUGAAGCUGGAAUUACUAGUAAUCGUGGAUCAGCGUGCCACGGUGAAUGCGUUCCCGGGUCU
RNAcentral lists this ribosomal RNA (1306 nucleotides) under uncultured bacterium. Its description in RNAcentral is "partial 16S ribosomal RNA". It matches the Rfam family "Bacterial small subunit ribosomal RNA", at positions 28 to 1381 of the family's 1533-position model. The record is from RNAcentral.